Molecule: RNA transcript, 3077 nt
Organism: Setaria italica (foxtail millet)
Lineage: Eukaryota; Viridiplantae; Streptophyta; Magnoliopsida; Poales; Poaceae
Gene name: glucosidase 2 subunit beta
Exons: 9
Source: RefSeq, a predicted model, not a curated record
AACUGUUCGGCCGUGGCCCGUGGCUAUGAACUCGAUCCGGGCUGACGAGCGGGAUUCACAUCAACGGCAGGCAGAUGUGGACCCCAUCACCAGGUCGUCGCGUCGUCUCCUCCGCUCCCGCCACUCUACUGCUCCGCCUCCUCCUCCUCGCCGGCGCCGCCGACGCCGCGCCACCUCUCGUUGGCGUUUCGCCCCAAGAUGAGGCGUACUUCGCGACCCAGGUGAUCGCCUGCAGGGACGGCUCGGGCUCCUUCCCGAGGAGCCGGCUCAACGACGGGUACUGCGACUGCGCCGAUGGGACCGACGAGCCAGGUACCUCGGCUUGUCCAGAAGGCAAGUUUUACUGCAGAAAUAUUGGAGACACCCCUCAUUUGUUGUUCUCUUCGUUUGUGAAUGAUAAAAUAUGUGAUUGCUGUGAUGGAAGUGAUGAGUAUGAAAGUGGCGUCCAUUGUCAGAACACGUGUCGAAAUAGAAAUGAUAUUGCUGAGGCUGAUAAUGGAGGUGUCAAGCUCUCAGUAACACGUUUAGAUGCUACUAAUGAGUUUACCAAUAAACAUACAAUUGAUAUUGAAAACCUUGUCCACAACCACAUCAACAAAGACCUUAUCCAGAAACUAAGAGGAUUAAGGAUGGCUUUAGUCAUUGAGCUGGGCCUUGUUGUAUGUAUUUUUGUUUUCUGUGUUGCUCGGCGCCGAACUAGAACACGCAGGAGACAACAUAUUUUGAAACGUUAGCUGAGCAGUAGUUACUACAGAAACAGUUGAUCGAUGCUCAUUUGCAAAUAUUAAAGCUUAGGAGGAUGGUGGAGAAUUGGAGAUGGAAUGAACGGCUCUGCACCUUUUUUGCCAGAAAGACGGAGACGCGAGAAGAACAAAAAAAUGCGUGGAAAAUAUCAUAUGACUAUCACACACUGGGCCGUAAGCCCACAAAAUAUGACACGUGGGCCAAAAGCAUUGCCACUCCCGGCCCUCUAGGGUUUUGCACCUCUCUCUCCGCCCUCUUCACUCACUCACCUCAGCAGUCAGCACUUACAAAUUCCCUGAUCCAAAACCUCCGCCGUGGCCGCUAUCUCGGAGCAACGCAAGCAAUUCCACACGCGGACACGCCUCCUCACCCGCCCAGCGACCACUGCCGCAUCUCCGGCGAAGAUGGUCGCCGUCAGGUUCAGGGUGAGGUCCACCUCGCUCCAUUCGCCCUUGCUUGUGCUUCGUAUCAGUCGUGGGCGUGGGCGUGCAGUGCAGUCCCACCAGCACCAGGUGCCAGGUGGAGGGGAGGGGUCAUGCGAAUCUGCGAUGAGCACCCUAAGAUCUGCCGCAUGAAGCUUUGAGCCACCAACGAAGUCCGCGCCAAGGCUAUGUUCUGUGCAGAUACUUUCUCCGCAGAUGAAGAAUAGCAACUAUCAGAUCCUCGACAUCAAUGAGAUCUUUGAAGGGAACCUCACCUCCUCACCUCUGGUUGUGUAAUCAAAACAGGACUGGCUGCCACAACAUGUACAAGAAGUAACUCACCUUCAGUGGUGACGGCUUCAUGCCAGUGUCAGGUCCUUUGCAUUUAGAUCAUCAAGACUGCAAUAGUCCACUUCAAGCUGUUCAAAGCAGUGCAAGCGUGAAAACUCUAAGCAGUUCCACAUGAAGAACGUCAGGUUCUCUCUGGUGUACUGCAACCGACCACCUGCCAGGAAGCUGAAGGCCAUCUUGUUUAUGUGAUCUGACUCAUCCUUCCUAAUCUGUAUGCCCACAUAGUUUGGGGGAUGAGGAUUACUAGUUUAUGUUUAUUAUAUCUAUAUUUACCCCCCCCCCCCCCCCCUAAAUUCUAGUUGUAGGUCCAUGCAGCCUUUUUAUCUGGAUGAAAAUCCUCUAUUCUUUUCCCUCUCAUGAUAUCUGCUCUCUUAUAAUGGAAUAGUUAAAAUUCCUCCUGGUUUUGGUUUACUUAAAUAUCCAAAUUUGUGUUAUUUAUUUGCAUAUUUAUGAUGACCUACUGGGGUCAGUCUGUCUAGUUGUCCAGUCUGUAGGAAACUAGCAACAUGAUCUGAUCGAAUUAGUUUUUACAACAUCCCUGUCAUUGCUAUUUGUUACUUUAACUGAAUGCUUGUCUUAUUGAGAGUACAUUUUCUAUGCUGAUAAGUUGUGGUAUUGCUUCGUAUAUCAGUGGGUAUUGCUUCGUAUAUCAGUGUCAAGCUGUAAUGUUUCAGUGUUCUUCAACAUGUUUCUUGAGGUUACUUAGGAGGGCAACUUUGCCGAGGUUACCAACAACAAAUUUGGUUUCCUUUUUUUCCCUGUUGCCAAUAUCAAUGUUCCUCCUGGAUGUUUCAGCUUAAUCCAUUAACCAUUUGGUUUUAUGGAUGAGCAUCCUUGCCAACAAUGUCUAGUUAUAGAGCAUUAUUUUUCCCACCUUUGAAAUUUGUAGUCCUGUCAAUUUGCAUUCAACUUUCAGCUAGUGUUUGUGUCCCUGCAUAAUCUCAUGUCCCUGUGCCAUGUCAGUUCCUGGUUUGCUGUAACAUGUUGCUGUUAUUUUAUUUUCCGGUAUGGGUACAAUUGAGUGCUACCAUUCUGCUUAUCUUUUGAGCAAAGUAUCUGUUAAUAUUUGUUCCUUGUGCACCUGAAGUGUCAACUCAUUUUUAUUGAUGCGGCAUCUUAUCAUUGUGAUUUUUGGGAGGCAACUUUACCGAGGUUACCAAGACAGUUUGGUUUGCCUAUAUCAUCCGUUGCCAGGUUGCUUGCUCGCAUUGACCUUGGUUUUAUGGUCGGCUUCCUGGCAAACACUUUUUUUAAUUAUAUUUACAGAUUUUGGUUUUGACUCUUGCACUGCAGAUUUGUCUAUUGGGAUCCUGAUUGGUGUUAAAGUUUUUCCUUUUUUCUUGAAUGCUACUACACCGUUGGAGCAUGUUGCUGCGAAGCAAAUGAUGACUGCAAUGCCCCUGGUUGGUGUUACAGUUCCUUUUUCUGAAGGCCACUACACUUAAGUAACACUGUAGGAAUGUAGGUUGCGGGCUUACAGCAAAGCAGAUGAUUACUGCAAUGUUCCAACAGUUGUUGCUUUGUGCAUGAUAUUGGAAUAUUGGAUAUGCUUGUGAUGCA